This 388-nucleotide ribosomal RNA is filed under the name uncultured bacterium. Its description in RNAcentral is "bacterial SSU rRNA". It matches the Rfam family "Archaeal small subunit ribosomal RNA", at positions 339 to 727 of the family's 1478-position model. The record is from RNAcentral. RNAcentral also lists the same sequence under 2 other names.
GCGCGAAACCUCCGCAAUGUGAGAAAUCGCGACGGGGGGAUCCCAAGUGCCAUUCUUAACGGGAUGGCUUUUCUUAAGUGUAAAAAGCUUUUGGAAUAAGAGCUGGGCAAGACCGGUGCCAGCCGCCGCGGUAACACCGGCAGCUCUAGUGGUAGCUGUUUUUAUUGGGCCUAAAGCGUUCGUAGCCGGUUUGAUAAGUCACUGGUGAAAUCCUGUAGCUUAACUGUGGGAAUUGCUGGUGAUACUGUUGAACUUGAGGUCGGGAGAGGUUAGCGGUACUCCCAGGGUAGAGGUGAAAUUCUGUAAUCCUGGGAGGACCACCUGUGGCGAAGGCGGCUAACUGGAACGAACCUGACGGUGAGGGACGAAAGCUAGGGGCGCGAACCGG